UACGGGGGGGGCAAGCGUUGUUCGGAAUUACUGGGCGUAAAGGGCGCGUAGGCGGCCUUCUAAGUCGGACGUGAAAUCCCUCGGCUUAACCGGGGAACUGCGUCUGAUACUGGAUGGCUUGAGUUUGGGAGAGGGAUGCGGAAUUCCAGGUGUAGCGGUGAAAUGCGUAGAUAUCUGGAGGAACACCGGUGGCGAAGGCGGCAUCCUGGACCAACACUGACGCUGAGACGCGAAAGCUAGGGGAGCAAACGGG
RNAcentral lists this ribosomal RNA (253 nucleotides) under uncultured bacterium. RNAcentral's name for it is "partial 16S ribosomal RNA". It matches the Rfam family "Bacterial small subunit ribosomal RNA", at positions 524 to 776 of the family's 1533-position model. The record is from RNAcentral.